AGAGUUUGAUCAUGGCUCAGGAUGAACGCUAGCGGCAGGCCUAAUACAUGCAAGCUGAACGGUAAAUAUUGUAGCAAUACGAUAUGAGAGUAGCGUAAGGGUGCGUAACACGUAUGCAAUCUGCCCUGUACAGGAGGAUAGCUCGGCGAAAGCCGGAUUAAUACUUCGUAAUAUAUUGUUGGGGCAUCCCGGUGAUAUUAAAGUCGCAAGAUGGUACAGGAUGAGCAUGCGUCUGAUUAGCUAGUUGGUAGUGUAACGGACUACCAAGGCGAUGAUCAGUAGGGGAACUGAGAGGUUGAUCCCCCACACUGGCACUGAGAUACGGGCCAGACUCCUACGGGAGGCAGCAGUAGGGAAUAUUGGUCAAUGGAUGCAAGUCUGAACCAGCCAUGCCGCGUGCAGGAAGAAGGCCUUCUGGGUUGUAAACUGCUUUUGCCGGGGGAUAAAAUUCCCAUGCGUGGGACAUUGAAGGUACCCGGUGAAUAAGCCACGGCUAACUACGUGCCAGCAGCCGCGGUAAUACGUAGGUGGCAAGCGUUGUCCGGAUUUAUUGGGUUUAAAGGGUGCGUAGGCGGCUUAGUAAGUCAGUUCUGAAAUAUCCCGGCUUAACCGGGAGGGUGGGAUUGAUACUGCUGAGCUUGAGUGGAUUCGAGGUAGGCGGAAUUGACGGUAGCGGUGAAAUGCUUAGAUAUCGUCAAGAACACCGAUAGUGUAGACAGCUUACUAGACUUCAACUGACGCUGAGGCACGAAAGUGUGGGGAUCAAACAGGAUUAGAUACCCNNGUAGUCC
This 791-nucleotide ribosomal RNA is filed under the name uncultured bacterium. Its description in RNAcentral is "bacterial SSU rRNA". It matches the Rfam family "Bacterial small subunit ribosomal RNA", at positions 8 to 796 of the family's 1533-position model. The record is from RNAcentral.